Molecule: unclassified non-coding RNA, 987 nt
Filed under: Pullenia subcarinata
Lineage: Eukaryota; Foraminifera; Rotaliida; Nonionidae
Description: sequence contains 18S rRNA gene, ITS1, 5.8S rRNA gene, ITS2 and 28S rRNA gene
Rfam family: 5.8S ribosomal RNA (bases 387-582)
Source: RNAcentral
GGUGAACCUGCCGAUUGAUCAUUACGCGUUAUUUUAUAAACUUUACACAACACUGCGUCUAUUACGCCGUUGUAAUAUUUUUAUAGUUAUAACACACACUGCUCUGUGUGACUGUCCUGUACGCAUAUUCACGUAUGUGUCGGUACUGAAUACAGGCGACCAACCUUAAAACAAGUAUGCCUGCAGACUUUAGAUCUCAGGCGAACAAACCCCCUUUUAUCUAGAUCAAAUAAUUCAAUUCAGCUCUACGGAGUCUAACACAAUCAAAUUUUUUGAUAUAAAUAUUUUUUUUUUCUCUCUGCCGCAUGUUUUAUUACGCGCAGCGGAUUAGAAAUAAAUUUAUUUUUACAUAGAUUAUUAUGUAGACAACACACACACAUUAUACACUGCAUGAGCGAUGGAUCUCUUGGUUCCUUGCAUCGUUGAAGGUCGCAGCGAAUUGCGAAAUGUUGGUCGUGUGAAUUGCAAGACACAUUGGCCCUUUUCGGGCUGCGGAACACCUUACUCACUGAACGUUUAUAUCGCUUAGCAGAUUAAUCUUCGUGUUCGCACGUAGACUGCAGCGCGCUCGGUUGAGAGUGCUUUAUAUGUUUACAUGCAUUUACUUGCAUCUUACACAUAUUUUUUUCUUUGCUGCGUCUUUUUUUAUGCGUCUCACAACGCAUUUUGGCCGCAGCAUAGAAACCUUUCUAAAUUUUCUCCUGUAAACAGUGUUACGCUUUAUACACACACACAAAGCUAGUACUGCGGAAGGUAUUUCUUAAUUGCUAAUAUUUUCCAUCGCGUCAAAAAUUUAUAUUUUUUACCGUGUGCAAGUAUGAUUUACAUACAGAAGUAUACAUCACACCGUCUGUUUACCAUUAGUUUGAUAAAUUUGUGUGCCUGAUACCGUACUUUUUUGUAUGCCGAAUUGGCGACUUCGCACAAUUAAUUUAGCGGUAAGUAAUUUUGAUGCUCCCAUUCCUAAGGCACAUCAGCUCGAGUGAG